UAUUUCAAAAACAGGAGCUGAUUAAUUUUUUAUGACUUUGGAUUUGAGUUCAAAACAUCGAAACCCUUCAGAAAAGUAUAUUUUGGUUACUGCAAGUCACGUUGUCUUCGUUAAAUUUCAUACAAAAGUACUAGUUUUCAACUUUUUUCAACUUAAAUAGCCAUUUUUCACUUUAGUGGGCGGGGCAGUGGGCGGAAAUUACUGGUGUUGAUGUAUCUUCAUAUUUCCUAUCAUUCCUGAAAAUUUCAUCAAAAACGGUCCAGUAGUUUAGAUUUUACGGAGUUUUUUCCACUCUCCCAUACAAGGUUCCCCACUGUGCGCCGCCAAGCAUAACAACUAUAAUCAACCGUCUAUCGUUCCUGACAACAAAUUGAUCUCCGCCGCCGACAUAAGACUUAUCACCGCCACUACCAGUUCCCAGAUAGAUCCUAUGUCAGCUAAAUCAUUUCCGAUUUACGAAUCAUAAAGUAAACCGAAACAUUUGCCCAACGUUAAAUUAAAAAAAAAAAAAAAAAACAAAAAACAAGACAAAACAAAAAAAAAAAAUUAUUAUAAAUUUUGAAUAUUGAAUUAAUUUCCUGAAUUAAUAUUUAAGUUCAGUCAUACAAAUUUUUUUUAUAAAAAAAAUAAUAGAUUUAAUAUUUUUUUUUUAUACAUAAGUCAAAACGAGAGGGUUCUCGUUUAAUAAAGUAAGGGGGCACUGUGACGAAGCGUCACAACUUAGUUUUUCAUUUUCAACAAACGAAUGAAAAUUGUAUAAAUAAUUAUACACAAUUCGCGUAUCAGCAAUGCCUACACAGGGUAGGCCAAGUGACGUAGCUGCACCACCAGAAACACAAAAACAAAAAAAACAAAACAAAGAAACAAAGACAGUACGAGUUGUCGUACGCGACAAUCGUCAUCCUCAUCCUACAUAUAAAAAAUGAAUUUAAGUUUUCAUGAAAUUUUAACGUUUAACUGUGUUACACUUCACAGUGAGUUUCAUCCGCCGAUAUCAUAUGAGGAAGCAAAAAUUAUCACAAAAGGGUCGAUCUUGCGCAUCUCUGAUAUCAAGUACCUAUUCAUUUAGAGUAUAGACACAGAGGCAAGUAGACCCGGAAAAGACUUGGUAAUUUAACUGUCCUUUCUUGAAUUUUUUGGUCCUAAAUAGUAAAUAAGUAGCUAGUUGUAUUAGGGAAUCAGAAAUCAACACAGGUAGUUUACGAUAGAAAUUAGAACAGGAAAUUAUUAUUGUUAUUAUUAUUGUUAUUAUUAUUGUUAUUAUUAUUAUUAUUAUACUAACAAAUUAUACCGGAAUUAUCUCCACAUUUUGGGGACAUAAGGGUUUCUAUUGGGAUUCCCACAGACUACUCCAUCGAGCUUCUCUUUGGACAAAGGUUCUCCUAGUGAGUUCCGACCAGAAUCAUCUCCACAUUUUGGGGACAUAAGGGUUUCCAUUGGGAUUCCCACAGAUUACUCCAUCGAGCUUCUCUUUGGACAAAGGUUCUCCUAGUGAGUUCUGACCGGAAUUAUCUCCACAUUUUGGGGACAUAAAGGUUUCCAUUGGGACUCCCACAGACUACUCCUUCGAGCUUCUCGUUGGACAUAGGUUCUCCUGCCGAGUUACGACCAGACUUCUCUCCGUAUUGUGGGGACAUAGGAUUCCAUUUGGAUUCCAAAGACUUCUCCUUUGAGUUUCCUAGCUCAUUGGACAUAGGUUCUCCUAGCGAGUUCCGUCCAGAAUCCUCUCCAGGUUGUGUACUGGGGACAUAAGGGUUUCCAUUAGGGUCCCAUAGACUACUCCUUCGAGCAUCUCGUUGGACAUAGGUUCUCCUGCCGAGUUCCGACCAGACUUUUCUCCGUAUUGUGGGGACAUAGGAUUCCAUUUGGAUUCCAAAGACUUCUCCUUUGAGUUUCCUAGCUCAGUGGACAUAGGUUCUCCUAGCGAAUUCCGUCCAGAAUCCUCUCCAGGUUGUGUACUGGGGACAUAAGGGUUUCCAUUAGGAUCCCAUAGACUACUCCUUCGAGCUUCUCGUUGGACAUAGGUUCUCCUGCCGAGUUCCGACCAGACUUUUCUCCGUAAUGUGGGGACAUAGGAUUCCAUUCGGAUUCCAUAGACUUAUCCUUUGAGUUUCUUAGCUCGUUGGACAUAGGUUCUCAGUGUGAGUUCCGACCAGAUUUCUCUCCUGAUUGUGUACCGGGGACACCAAAAUAUAUGAAGUAACUUGUUAUAAAUAAAGAUUAAGACAUUGUAUAUAUAUAAUAAGCUUGAAGUGAAAAAUAAAUAAAACCGAUAUAAAUUAAGGAUUAAAAGGCUGUUUCCUUGAGUUUGGAACUUUCAAAAACCCAAGUUUUGUUGCUUCUUUGGGAAGAAUCCUGGAACUCCCCUGAGCUUACCUCAGCAUAAGCAAAAAAAGCAUCACAAUACAUAGUGGACAUUCUAAAAAAACAGCUUUAGCUUUACAUUGUAUAGAUGAAGAACAUAGGCCAGAUUUUAAUAACGUAGACAUUUUACAAACAGAGAAACACUAUAGUAAAAGAAUGUUGCUAGAAAUGUUACAUAUUUUAGAUACAGAUAAUACUGUUAAUAGGAGAUCAGAUUGUGAGGGACUUAGCAAUAUUUAUAGUCAGUUUGUCCAAAGAAAUAUGUUAUAUUAGAUUUUAUCAACAUUUUUAACUUGAAUUUUUAGAUAGGAUUUGUUUUUGUUUUCUUGUAAAAUUUUUGAAUUUCUUAUCAAAUAGAAAUUUUUAAUUUGAUUGUUUUGAAAUUUUAAUAAUGUGAAACGUCUUUUUCAAGAUAUUCUUUUAUUGAAUUUUAAAAUAUCAUUGAUACAAAAAGCUAAACAGUUUUUGACAAACCACUUUUGUUAAACCUUAAGAGGUUAAAAAGUUUUUAAUAUUAGUCCUGAAGAAGGGUAUAUCCAUACCCGAAACGUCGACUGAUAGAAAAAAGAACUAACUCAAGAAAAGACCUAUAGCCCACAAACAAUAGUAUAAUUUAUGAAACUUCUAAUCCACUCAACUGUUUUGCAGAUGAUAGUACCCUCAGUUUUUCAUAUUCGUUACCUGAUUCUCGCCCAAGUUCUUCGGAAGUGGAUCUUGAACGGCUAAAUAUGAUAAACUCAUUAAAUUCUGAUCUUAAUAGCAUUGUCCAAUGGGGAAUAAGAAAUCGCGUAGAAUUUAAUGCUUCCAAAACUCAAUGCUGCUUACUAUCAUUAAAGCGGAACAUGUCUCCCAUGCCACUAUCCAUGAGUGGUACUUGCAUCGAAGAAACCGAAAAGCUUUCCAUCCUCGGUAUGUGCAUUACAAACCACCUCCUGUGGAAUGAACACAUAUUUGACACCGCUAAAUCCGCUGCGAAAUGUUUAGGUUUCCUCCGAAGAUGCAAGAAAUUUUUCUCCCCGUCUGAUCUAGCAAUUAUUUAUAAGGCGUACAUUCGUCCAAAGCUUGAAUAUAACUCCCACAUCUGGGCAGGUGCUCCAAUAACCUCGUUGAGUUUCUUGGAUAGAAUACAAAACAGAGCUAUAAAAAUGAUAGGUGAUAGAUCAAUAACUGAUACAAUUACGUCUCUCGAGCACCGUCGUAACGUCUCAUGUCUCACGUUGUUCUAUCGUUAUUUUUAUAAGCAGUGCUCCGAUGAAAUAGCUAGUUGCAUUCCUCCCCUGAAACAAUUCAACCGUAAUACUCGCGCUUCAAGGAAUGCUCAUCAGUUUACCCUAGAGUCCAACUUCGGACGUACCGUCAAAUACAGAGAUUCUUUCUUCAGCCGCACUACACGAAUGUGGAACGCGUUACCCGCCUCUGUUUUCCCAUCCCAUUUCAAAACUCAGAACUUCAAAACUAAUGUUCAUCGGUAUCUCCUUUCAAACCCCUCCCUAUUUUCCUAAUGCUCGUACUGUGUUCACCAUAUUAAGGGUACAUUAAUCCCUUUAGUGCGCGCUUAUUAUAAAAAAAAAAAAAAAACUUAUAUAGGGUGUCCCAAAAGUAAUGGAUCAAACGAAAUAUGCUGAUUGGGGAACUUAAGGGCUCUCAGAAUUUGGAACCUUGUUCCUCCCAAAUCCUUACGGGUUUCAAUUUAAUGCAAUUCUUGUGAAAUUUCGAAAAAUCCCUACUUGACAACAGUAUUUUGCUUCCUGCGCCCAUUAUUGAUAUUUGUUUUUUUUUUUUUAAUUCUUUUACGAAAACAUUGCCAAUAAUUAGGAACAAUUAAUUAAUCAAAAUAUUUUUUAUUCCAUACGCCAUAUUUCGCUGCAAAUUAACUAACAGUUUCAAGUUUUAUAAAAAAUCUAUUUCUAACUUUUAUUUGCGACCAACACCGCAAACAAAAUUUUACGCUGUGAAAAUGGUUUAUUAUUUUAAAAAGUUGCCCUGUUAUUGUAGUUUUCAAAAAAGUAUAAAAGUUUCCUAAGUUGCAGUUAGAUCACAAAAUAUUACAAUUUGAAUUCAACAAAACAAGGUUUUUCAGAAAAAAAAAACAACCAACUGAAUAAAUGAUCAAUACAUGAUCAAAAAAGUCAUGAUCUAAAAAAUGUUGUUUAGUUAUUGUAACAAAAAGAAAAAGAACAAUGCGUAAAACAUGGAACCAUCCCUCAAAAUUUUAUUGAAGUCGUUGAAUCUCUCUCUGUGAAAACAAAACUAAUAUAAGAGAAAAUACUUCCAAAAUGUCUGGAGGACCUCAAAAUUUCAUCGAAAUCUUUAAAGUUUAAAAAAAAUUCUAUGGUAAAAAAGUGGGCAUGGCAGUGGGCGGAUUUUUCCAAAAAUACUUACAAAACUUUUAACUCCCUUAGAUAAACAAACCCUUAAAAUGUCAUCGAAAUCGUUAGAGACGUUUCCGAAAAAAAACUUAAAUGUUAAAAAAGUGGGCUUGGCAGUGGGCAGAUUUUUCCAAAAAAAAACUUCCAAAACUUUUUACUUUCUUGGAUGAACAAACCCUGAAAAUUUCAUCGAAAUCAUUAGAGCCGUUUCCGAAAAAACUUAUAUGUUAAAAAAGUGGGCGUGGCAGUGGGCGGAUUUUUCAAAAAAAAAACUUCCAAAACUUUUUACUCGCUUAUAUAAACAAACCCUGAAACCCUCGUUGGAGCCGUUCCCGAAAAAACUUAUAUGUUAAAAAAGUGGGCGUGGCAGUGGGUGGAUUUUUCCAAAAAUACUUCCAAAACUUUUUACUCGCUUAGAUGAACAAACCCUGAAAAUUUCAUCGAAAUCGUUAGAGCCGUUUCCGAGAUCCCAAUUUUAUAUAUAUUUAUAUAUAUACAGUGACGGACAAAACAAUAAGACCACCUCUAUCACUUUGAAAACAUGCUCUUUAUCUCUCAUUCCAAUGAAAUAAAACGGCUCCUUUUACUAUAUUCUGCUUUAAAUAACGAAACUAUUAUGAAAUAAAAGAAAAAGAACAUGCACAGAUAGUUUGAUGCAAAAAAAAAAAAAUAUAAACUAAAAAGAACCCUCAAAUCGUGUGGACAAAACAA
Molecule: long non-coding RNA, 5444 nt
Organism: Episyrphus balteatus (marmalade hoverfly)
Lineage: Eukaryota; Metazoa; Arthropoda; Insecta; Diptera; Syrphidae
Exons: 2
Source: RefSeq, a predicted model, not a curated record